This is a non-coding RNA of Acanthosepion pharaonis, 114 nucleotides long. The record is from the annotation of a GenBank genome assembly. Lineage: Eukaryota; Metazoa; Mollusca; Cephalopoda; Sepiida; Sepiidae.
UUACGGUCAUAACACAUUGAAACACUGGUUCGCGUCCGAUCACAGAAGUUAAGCAACGUCGAGACUGGUCAGUAAAUAAAUGGAUGACCGAUUUGGAAUACAGGGAGCUGUAAG